AAAUAGAUACCCUGGUAGUCCACGCCGUAAACGAUGUCGACUUGGAGGUUGUGCCCUUGAGGGCGUGGCUUCCGGAGCUAACGCGUUAAGUCGACCGCCUGGGGAGUACGGCCGCAAGGUUAAAACUCAAAUGAAUUGACGGGGGCCCGCACAAGCGGUGGAGCAUGUGGUUUAAUUCGAUGCAACGCGAAGAACCUUACCUACUCUUGACAUCCAGAGAACUUAGCAGAGAUGCUUUGGUGCCUUCGGGAACUCUGAGACAGGUGCUGCAUGGCUGUCGUCAGCUCGUGUUGUGAAAUGUUGGGUUAAGUCCCGCAACGAGCGCAACCCUUAUCCUUUGUUGCCAGCGGUUAGGCCGGGAACUCAAAGGAGACUGCCAGUGAUAAACUGGAGGAAGGUGGGGAUGACGUCAAGUCAUCAUGGCCCUUACGAGUAGGGCUACACACGUGCUACAAUGGCGCAUACAAAGAGAAGCGACCUCGCGAGAGCAAGCGGACCUCAUAAAGUGCGUCGUAGUCCGGAUUGGAGU
This 529-nucleotide ribosomal RNA is filed under the name uncultured bacterium. Its description in RNAcentral is "bacterial SSU rRNA". It matches the Rfam family "Bacterial small subunit ribosomal RNA", at positions 776 to 1304 of the family's 1533-position model. The record is from RNAcentral.